AGUUUUGCACAGUGGCAGUAUCGUAGCCAGUGAGCUUUACCCGAGGCGCGAAUAUUGCUAGUUAAAUAUUUAUAAAAACCUUUCGAGCAGCGCCUGAACAAGAAUAGGUUAAGAGGAGCUCCGGUAGUCUUGAGUUUGGGCUUGUCCCA
RNAcentral lists this small nuclear RNA (149 nucleotides) under Chlorocebus sabaeus (green monkey). Its description in RNAcentral is "U4 spliceosomal RNA". It matches the Rfam family "U4 spliceosomal RNA". Rfam says of the family: U4 small nuclear RNA (U4 snRNA) is a component of the major U2-dependent spliceosome. The structure of U4 snRNA from yeast and human has been reported. Lineage: Eukaryota; Metazoa; Chordata; Mammalia; Primates; Cercopithecidae. The record is from Rfam by way of RNAcentral.